RNAcentral lists this ribosomal RNA (437 nucleotides) under uncultured bacterium. RNAcentral's name for it is "bacterial SSU rRNA". It matches the Rfam family "Bacterial small subunit ribosomal RNA", at positions 337 to 765 of the family's 1533-position model. The record is from RNAcentral.
UCCUACGGGAGGCAGCAGUGGGGAAUUUUGGACAAUGGGCGCAAGCCUGAUCCAGCCAUGCCGCGUGAGUGAAGAAGGCCUUCGGGUUGUAAAGCUCUUUCGGGCUGGGAAGAAAUCGCAUCUCCUAAUACGGGGUGUGGAUGACGGUACCAGCAUAAGAAGCACCGGCUAACUACGUGCCAGCAGCCGCGGUAAUACGUAGGGUGCGAGCGUUAAUCGGAAUUACUGGGCGUAAAGCGUGCGCAGGCGGUUUCGUAAGACAGAGGUGAAAUCCCCGGGCUCAACCUGGGAACUGCCUUUGUGACUGCGAGGCUAGAGUAUGGCAGAGGGGGGUGGAAUUCCACGUGUAGCAGUGAAAUGCGUAGAGAUGUGGAGGAACACCGAUGGCGAAGGCAGCCCCCUGGGCCAAUACUGACGCUCAUGCACGAAAGCGUGGG